UCCUUCGGGGUGAGUGGCAGACGGGUGAGUAACGCGUGGGAACGUGCCCUUCAGUUCGGGAUAACCCAGGGAAACUUGGGCUAAUACCGGAUACGUGCGAGAGCAGAAAGAUUUAUCGCUGAAGGAUCGGCCCGCGUCUGAUUAGCUAGUUGGUAGGGUAAUGGCCUACCAAGGCGACGAUCAGUAGCUGGUCUGAGAGGAUGAUCAGCCACAUUGGGACUGAGACACGGCCCAA
This 235-nucleotide ribosomal RNA is filed under the name uncultured Hyphomicrobiales bacterium. RNAcentral describes it as "uncultured Rhizobiales bacterium partial 16S ribosomal RNA". It matches the Rfam family "Bacterial small subunit ribosomal RNA", at positions 82 to 334 of the family's 1533-position model. Lineage: Bacteria; Pseudomonadati; Pseudomonadota; Alphaproteobacteria; Hyphomicrobiales. The record is from RNAcentral.